RNAcentral lists this transfer RNA (74 nucleotides) under Propionibacteriaceae bacterium. RNAcentral describes it as "tRNA-Asp". It matches the Rfam family "tRNA". From Rfam's summary of the family: Transfer RNA (tRNA) molecules are approximately 80 nucleotides in length. Their secondary structure includes four short double-helical elements and three loops (D, anti-codon, and T loops). Lineage: Bacteria; Bacillati; Actinomycetota; Actinomycetes; Propionibacteriales; Propionibacteriaceae. The record is from RNAcentral.
GGCCCCGUAGCGCAGUUGGUUAGCGCGUCGGCCUGUCACGCCGAAGGUCGCGAGUUCAAGUCUCGUCGGGGUCG